UGAUCCGAAAUAUAGUGAAGCUAAUUUGUCUGCCAGUCUACGUCUGCCCAUAAUAGGGACAAUCAAUUUUAUCCGACACUUCAAAACUGUUUUGCUGCCUGAAAGAAGACGCUGUUACGAUGAACUUUUCCAACAAAAAUAUCUUAUUUCGCCUAUAUCUCAUGGGAUUUACAUGCACCUUUGUGCUCGACGCUAGCCAAGAUACUGUGAAGAUCGACCAAGCUGAGGAGCCUACUGAAGCACCUACGUCAAUGCGAGGCCCAAAGUACUGCGUUGACGUCGGCUUCCGAUGCACUUUCCGGAAAUGCUGCCCACCUUAUGGAUGUGCACCCCCAAUAUAUAGGUGCACAGUGCCGUAGUCCGUUUUCAAUGAAAUGGAAGUGAUGUGUUGAGUACAGAACACGCCUCAAAACUUGGCAAAUAAACUGUCACAAAGAGCCUCAAAAUAAAAUACAUGACCCAGCUUUACAUCAGACAUUAAACUGUUGUUUGUCCGUA
Molecule: long non-coding RNA, 498 nt
Organism: Dermacentor albipictus
Lineage: Eukaryota; Metazoa; Arthropoda; Arachnida; Ixodida; Ixodidae
Source: RefSeq, a predicted model, not a curated record